RNAcentral lists this unclassified non-coding RNA (381 nucleotides) under uncultured Alphaproteobacteria bacterium. Its description in RNAcentral is "contains 16S-23S intergenic spacer region". Lineage: Bacteria; Pseudomonadati; Pseudomonadota; Alphaproteobacteria. The record is from RNAcentral.
UCCAGUUUAUCACUGGCAGUCUCUUCAAAGUUCUCAGCAUUACCUGUUAGCAACUAAAGAUAGGGGUUGCGCCCGUUAAAGGACUUAACCCAACAUCUCACGACACGAGCUGACGACAGCCAUGCACCACCUGUGCGGAGUCCGGCCGAACCGAAAAUUUGAUCUCUCAAAUCGAUGACUCCCAUGUCAAGAGCUGGUAAGGUUUUUCGCGGAUUAUCGAAUUAAACCACAUGCUCCACCGCUUGUGCGGGUCCCCGUCAAUUCCUUUGAGUUUUAGUCUUGCGACCGUACUCCCCAGGCGGAUUGCUUAACGCGUUAGCUUCAACACCGGGAAUUAUUCAUUCCCGACGUUUAGCAAUCAUCGUUUAGGGCGUGGACUAC